Nyctereutes procyonoides (raccoon dog) is the source of this 2168-nucleotide long non-coding RNA. RefSeq lists it as uncharacterized. The record is from RefSeq and is a predicted model, not a curated record. NCBI's taxonomy places the organism in Eukaryota, Metazoa, Chordata, Mammalia, Carnivora, Canidae. The transcript has 6 exons.
UUGAAAUCUGUCACUAAAUUACUAAUUGUCCUCAAUAUUGACACAUAGACGACCCAGGCCUAAGUAAAACCAUGUGAAUUGCCAGACCAGUCAAAUAAAUGAAAUAAAUGAACAAAUUUGGGUAGGAUUGGACUGUUGGGUGUGUGUAUGAUCUUGGACAAAAGGGAACUGCAACUCCAAAAUCAAAUCAAAACGAACUGUAAGUAUUGUAGAUCUGAAGCAUACAAAAAGCCCUGUCUCCCACCUAAAUAUUCCACAAAUUUGAAGGUAAGUCUAACUUUAUCACAUGUUUUUAAUAGUUAGAUUUGCAAAGGGAAGUCCCUCACAUGUCUCUCCUUUGGAAUGUCUUUUAUGAGUAGCUCUAGUUUUUUUCUCUAUGGAUUAAGUGACAACUUCCAUAUAGAAAAAACAAAUAAAGAAUUCUGAUUGUAACCACCAAUCAGGACACUGGCUCCACUUCUCUGGAAUAGGUAAGCCAGUGUAUACUGCAUACUUAGAAGAAAAAUGACUACUGUGCAUAAAAAUAAAACAGUGGCUUACCACAGUUUCCAUUCAGAAACACCCUCUUGCAUUACUAGCUUUUGUGACUAUGUUAAAUUUUCUCAGAGUGACCCACCCUCCUCUGUUUUGAAACUCAGCUUCUAUUUUGUACUAGAGGAAAGCAAUAAUUGUGACUCCAUUUGCAGAUAAGGAGAACAGAGGAAUCAUCCCAUUCCGUGGUCUUUCCCUGCCACUGAUGUCAGGACCACAACGCCUGAAGCUAGAGCACUACUUGUCUUUCUGCAGGAAUGCACAGGAUAUUUGAACUGUGCCUGAAGUUACUCUCGUUACAUAUUGGCACUCCAAAUGGCCAGAUGGUGUAACUAACAGUCAGAUCACCUUGGGUUACCAAUGACACAUCCUCCCUGCUGGUCACAGCCCCACCCAAGAGCCUCAUUCUGAAGCACUCAAGGAAGAAACCUAGAAUGCAACCAUGAACGUGAAUGGAGAAUACUAUGGAAGAUAGAGAACAACCAAGGAAAUGUCUCUAUAAAUAGGUUAAGUUUUCCUGUCUAAAAUGGUACAUGAGUAUGGUGUUAAAGUGCUGUCGAGGGUUCACAAGUGCAAGAAGGCUGGGAUGUGCCUUAGAGAGAAAAUACAUGUGUUAGACAAGCUUCAUUCAGUGUGAAGGGGAUUUGUGCCCCCUCCAUAUGCACCUGGUACCGGGGUGAUGGUUACUCUCCCCUCAAGCCAGCCAGCAAAUUGAACACAUGGCAUAGGCAAAUCCCCUCGUAUUAUCAGUAGAGAGAACACAAGUUCAAAGAUACAGUUAUCAACGAUUUCAAGACUGUGAUGACAGAGCAUUGUGCCAACGGUGGGGCAUUUCUGAACACGGGCCCUGGGUGGCUGUAGUGGCUGCAGCCCGUGAAGCCACCUGCUGGGUGUCACAUCACAGGAGAGAGGGAUAACCAGUUGCCAGAAUCCAGAAUAUGGUUAGGAUCCUUGGAGAACAGAACACCUGACCAGGGACCACCAUGGCUCUGUACAGAAUCCUCUGGAUAUCAAUACACUCCCAUCCUUGGGGCUGGACAGACUGAUGGAUCCAUCUGUAGGGCAGGCGCAGCCAGAACAGAAAACUGAACAAGAAGCUAAUGAGUUGGAGUCCAACCAGGAAACAGAGGACUUGGAAUUAACAGGAAUUCCAAAAGAGAACAGCAAGUCUAGCUCCUCAGGAGGGAGGAGGAGUUUCCUGGAGACUUCGUGAAGAAUGGUCAAACUUCCCAAGCAAAGAGUAUGACCAUGCCUCACAGAAAUCACAAGUGGGCUACCAGGUCUGUCCACACUGGGACUUUCAUCUGCCCCCAUCUCACAGGGGUCCAAGGAAUAUGCAGGAAGUCUGUGGAGAGUCUGUGGAGGGUUCCUGGCAUAUGGGAGGAAGAGGAAGAUCCAACACAUCCAGAGAGGUGUGAGAGCCCCCUAAGUAGACUUGCUGAAACUUUGAGCUCUUAAUGACUUCCUCCUUCACUAGGAGGUCCCUGAGAUCUCUUCCAGUCUCUUCUUCAUCCCCAUAAAAUGAAGGCACAGAAAUGACUCAAUUCUGAAGUACUAUUUAUUGUCUAGAUCAGUAUACUGUGACUUCAAGUUUUCAGAAAAUUUAAGUUUGCUCAGUUUAUUUUUCCAGAGAGAAC